GGAUGGUGGUGGCGGGAGCGGCUGCUGCGUUCUCGUUGCGGGGUGAGGCCUCGCCCGGGGACCUUGCCCGCCGCCACCCCCACACUCCCUCCCCCGGCGGCGCGAAGCCCCGGCGGUCCCUCUCGGGACGCAGAUAGACCGUGCAGAGCGGGCCACGGGCUCCUCGGGGUUGUCCCGCUCCGUGACCCCUGAACGGGGAAGGCUGGUGGCCGGGACAGGCGGCGAGCUGGCGCUCUGCGGGCUGCUGCGGGCGGCGGGGGGCGCCAGUGCUGAGCCUCCGGGUGCCGGUCUCGGGUCUCCCGGCUCUCAGCCCGGUGCGGUCCGCUCCCGCGUCUGCGUCCGCGAGGCCGGGGUGCAGCCCGGCCGCGGUGCUCUUUCGCCUGCUGGGGGCCGGGAGCUGAGAAGGGGUGGGCAUGGCCAGCGUCCCGCAGCUGUUGGACGACCUGUGCGAGGCCCUCCUGCCAGCCGCGAAGGCUCCCCUGGGCCAGCGCGGCGUGAGCCGGCAGAGGGCAAAGCAGAGCCUCAAGAGGGUGGCCUACAAUGCCCUCUUCACGGGCCUUUUUCAAGACGAGACUCGGAGACUGCAGCCUGAUCUCGCGAAGCUCCCCGUGAAGAACAAGGUCCUCAUGCUGUCCUUCGACUUGAGAGUGGGCGGUCUGGGCACCGAGGCUGACCGUCUGGAGGAGCUGGUGGAGGAGCUCCUCGCGGCCCCUUGCGGUCCGCUGGUGGAGGUGGGGUCUGUUUUGGACCUCCUGGUGCAGCUGGCAGGGAGCGGUCCCCCUCAGGUGCUGCGGCGCAAGAGGGACUACUUCUGGAACAACAGGCACGUGGGGCGAAACGUGCCCUACGGCGGCUACGACUGCUACGACCUGAGUGUGUUUGAGUUGGACGUCCAGUCUUUGAUCUCCAGGGAGGAGUACUUAUGUCAGGACAUGAUCCAGAAGGCGCUUCAGGUGAUGGAGGCGGCCCCAGGCACUGGCCUGCCCACCACGGGGCUCUUCUCAUAUGGGGAUCCUUGCAGUGACAGGUUUGAGAGAGACACCCGGGUCUCGCUUUUCGGCGCCCUUGUGCACAGCCGCACAUAUGACAUGGACAUACGGCUGGACCUGCCCCCGGUGCCGGACAGUGCAGACCUCUCUGGAUUGGCCAUUAAGGUUCCUCAGAGUGUGGAUCAGUCUGACGAUGAAGGGUUCCAGUCGGCAUCUAAUUUGACUCCUGACUCCCAGUCUGAACCAGGCAUGACUCCAGACAUUGACCUGUGGGACGCCGUGCUCACCUACGAGGCCAGCAAGCGGAGGUGCUGGGAGCAAGUUGGAUGCCCCCCCGGCCACAGAGAGGAGCCGUACCUCACCGAGGCCGGAAGGGACACCUUCGACAGGUUCUGCAGGCUCCGCCACGGGGAGCUGCAGGUGCUUGGCGGGGGCCUGCUACAGGCCCCACCGCUUGUCCUGGUGAAGGAGUGCGAGCUGGUGAAGGAUGCGCUGAACGUCCUGAUCGGGGUCGCGUCGGCCACGUUUUCCCUCUGCCAGCCGGCCCAGACCUUCAUGGUGAAGCGAGGUGUCCAUGUGUCCGGAGCCUCUCCCGAGAGCGUCAGCAGCCUCCUCUCCGAGGUGGCCGAGUGUGGGACGCACUACGCACGUCUGAGCCAGUUCUCUCUGCAGCCUGUGCUGGACUCCUCGUGCGGCAAGGGGCUCGUGUUCCAGGCCUUCACCAGCGGCCUGAGGAGGUACCUGCAGUACUAUCGGGCCUGCGUCCUCUCCACCCCACCCACCCUGAGCCUCCUCACCAUUGGCUUUCUCUUCAAGAAACUGGGGCGGCAGCUCAGGUACCUGGCCGAGCUUUGUGGCGUGGGCACUGCGCUCCCAGGUAGCGGCAGCGGGGAACCCAAGGCCGCCUUCCCCACCGGGGUGAAGCUGCUCUCCUACCUGUACCAGGAAGCUCUGGAUAAUUGCAGCAACGAGCACUAUCCCGUGCUGCUGUCCCUGCUGAAGACCAGCUGUGAGCCCUACACGAGGUUCAUCCACGACUGGGUGUACAGUGGCGUCUUCAGAGAUGUCUGCGGCGAGUUCAUGAUCCAGGUGAACCACGAGUACUUGGGCUUCAGAGAUAAAUUUUACUGGACCCAUGGCUAUGUGCUCAUUUCCAAAGAGGUGGAGGACUGCGUCCCUGUGUUCUUGAAGCACAUUGCCCAUGAUGUGUACGUCUGCGGGAAGACCAUCAACUUGCUGAAAGUCUGCUGCCCCCGGCAUUACCUUUGCUGGUCUGAUGUCCCCGUCCCUCGGAUCUCGGUGAUUUUCUCCCCUGAGGAGUUGAAGGAGGUCGAGAGGGACUGUGCCAUCUACGUGGGGCGGAUGGAGAGGGUGGCACGCCACAGCUGCAUCAGCAAGGAGGAGAAGGAAUUACGAGUGGAAAUUGCAAAGCAAGAAUUGAUUGUCCAGGCUCGGGAAGCAGCGUCCAGAGUCCUGCGAGCGCUCAGUGAUCGGCAGACCUCGGAACGCAUGGCCUUGGACGCCCGGAAGCGAGAGCAGUUUCAGAGGCUGAAGGAGCAGCUUGUGCAGGACCAGGAGCGGCGCCGGGCAGCCCGGCAGGAGGCCCCGGAUGACGACGCCGGCCGAGUGCGAGAGCUCCGCGACAGGGAGAGGCGGCUGAGGGCCCUGGAGGAGCAGCUGGAGAGGAGGGCGAGGCAGGCGCUGGUUGACCAUUAUAGCAAGUUGUCGGCAGAAGCUGCUCGCCGAGAGCAGAAGGCGCUGUGGAAGAUCCAGAGGCGCCGGCUGGCAAGCGCGCGGCUUCGUUUCCUCGUGGAGGAUCAGGAGCACAUUCAGGGGAUGCUGAAGGACGUGUCUGAGGGGAAGGCCCUGGAGCCACUGGCUGUCCUCCCUGUUGCUGGGUCCCAGACUUUGUCUUUGGGCUGUGAGCACCCCGCCGGUGGCAGCAGCUCCGACUCCGGGUGUGCAGAGCCGCGGCAUGUGGCUGCCUGGGACUGCCUGAACGUGGGGACGCCGGAGCAAGUCAGGCCACCAGCUGCAGGGGCCUGCGGCUCGGGGCCAGGAGCUGAGCCGCAGCCAGGGCCCGGGGCCGGGCUGGGGCCGUUCUCCGAGGGCCUCAGCAUCCAAGACUUCCUGCCCAGAGCCCGGGAGGCCGAGACGCCUGCGCAUGCUGGUGCGGCCCCUGUCCUGGAGGAGGCAUUACAAACCAUCGGCUCCGACCUGCCUCCCUCGGCUCCAUCCGAUGUGGUGGCCACAGGGCCUGCUGGGUCACAGGAGUAUGAUUUCAGAACCAUCCUGAGGCCCGCUGUGGCCCCUUUGGCUUCCCCAGGGUCCCUGCAGACUGUAGGAGGUGGCUCCAGCAAUGAGGGGCAGCAGCUGUGGCGGGACAGUGUCACACAGCCAGAGGACACAGGUGUCCCAGAUAGGCACGUGGCUCUGCCUCACCCCCACCCCGCUGGGCACACCGUCCCCCAGGAAGGGAGCAGUCAGGCCAUGGGGCAGCUCCUUGAGCAUGUGUCAGAGGGCAGCGUUCCCAUAGGCGGCUGUACUUCUGGGAUGGCCCCCUCUCGACCACGGUGGAACGUCCAUGGACACGUGUCUGAUGCCAGCAUCAAGGUUGGGGAGAAUGUGUGGGAUGUGGCCCCCUCCCGACCGCGGUGGAAUGUCCACGGACACGUGUCUGACGCCAGCAUCAAGGUGGGGGAGAACGUGUGGGAUGUGGCCCCCUCCCGACCGCGGUGGAAUGUCCACGGACACGUGUCUGACGCCAGCAUCAAGGUGGGGGAGAACGUGUGGGAUGUGGCCCCCUCCCGACCGCGGUGGAAUGUCCACGGACACAUGUCUCAGUCCCACAUGGCGCUGAGUGCACUCUCUGGGCAAGGCCAGCCCAAUAUGCCCAGGCCUUGCCAGAGCCUCACUGACCAGGUGUCUCAGUCGGGUCUCAGUCUGGGAGCACAGAGUCCCGUCUGUGAGCACGAGCCACGACUGCCUGCAGAGACGGCUGGUUCCAGUGGUGGGGAGCCACAUGGCCUCCAGGCUUUGCCGUCCGCAGUGGCUGCAUCUGUGGACCUGGGUGAUGGUAUCCCUGAAGAGCCAGGACCGGGACCGAGUAGGGACACGGAGGACCUCUCUCCAAGUCACCCUCCAAGCUCACAGGAUGACGUGGCGGCCCAGAGCAGCCCCGGCCUUGGUGAGGAGGUGGCCGCGGCCCAGCGCUGGGGCCAGGAGCAGGCCUACCUAGCGGGUCUGGCAGAGCAGUACGGGCUGGAGCAGUACCCGGACAGCUAUGAGGCCAUGUCAGAGCCUCCUGUUGCCCACCUGCUACACCAUGGGCUUCCCCGGGCCUUCGCCCUCCCGGAGGACCCCCGCGUCCCAUCGGACGCAGAUGAGACCGCGGUGCAGCUGAGCGAGCUCCUGCCGCUGCCUGUGCUCAUGAAGCACUCCAUCAGCGCCCCGCUGGCUGCGCACGUCUCGUUGGUGAACAAGGCUGCCGUGGACUACUUCUUCGUGGAGCUGCGGCUGGAGGCGCACUUCGAGGCGCUGCGGCAUUUCCUGCUCAUGGAGGACGGCGAGUUCGCACAGUCGCUCAGCGACCUGCUCUUUGAGAAGCUGGGGGCGGGCCAGACGCCUGGGGAGCUGCUCAACCCACUGGUGCUCAACUCCGUGCUCAGCAAGGCCCUGCGGUACAGCCUGCACGGCGACACGCCGCACGCCGCCAACCUCUCCUUUGCCCUCAAGUUCCUGCCCGAGGCCUUCGCCCCCAAUGCGCCCGAUGUGCUGAGCUGCCUGGAGCUCAGGUACAAGGUCGACUGGCCCCUGAACGUGGUGCUCACUGAGGGCUGCCUGAGCAGGUACAGCGGCAUCUUCUCCUUCCUGCUGCAGCUCAAGCUCAUGAUGUGGACGCUCAAGGACGUCUGCUUCCACCUGAAGCGCGCAGCUCUGGUGAGCCGCGCGGCCGGCUCCGUGCAGUUCCGCCAGCUGCAGCUCUUCAAGCACGAGAUGCAGCACUUUGUCAAGGUCACGCAGGGCUACAUCGCCAACCAGAUCCUGCACGUCACCUGGUGCGAGUUCCGGGCCCGGCUGGCGCAGGUGGGCGACCUCGAGGACAUCCAGCGCGCGCACGCCGAGUACCUGCACAAGGCCGUGUUCCGGGGCCUGCUGACCGAGAAGGCCGCGCCGGUCAUGAACGUCAUCCACAGCGUCUUCAGCCUCGUGCUCAAGUUCCGCAGCCAGCUCAUCUCCCAGCCCUGGGUCCCCGCCGGCGGCCCCCGGGGCGCGGAGCACCCCAACUUCGCCCUCAUGCAGCAGUCCUACAGCACCUUUAAGUACUACUCCCACUUCCUCUUUAAAGUGGUGACCAAGCUGGUGAACCGAGGCUACCAGCCCCACCUGGAGGACUUCCUGCUGCGCAUCAACUUCAACAACUACUAUCAGGACGCCUGAGGCUGUGCAACACAGGGUCUGAGGUCCGUGUCCGGUACACUUUUGGUGCGUACACGUCCAGCUGCUUCAGCACCGACCAUUCGAAUGAUGGUCUUUGCUCCAGGGUGAGUGACACCUCUGGAGACCAGACCUGGCAGUCACCACAGGGCUCACUGCGUCAGCCUCUGGCCAGAGCGACAAGUGCGCUCCACUCACCUCCUCCUAGUCCGCGUGAGGAACUGGGACAAGGAGACCUGUCCUCAAAUGUCAGCACCCCCCCCCGGCCCUGGGAACGACUCUCCCCCAGCGAGACCUCAUGCUCGGCAGGAAGCCAGCACCGGUCAGUUUAAUCUUGAAUUGGUAAAAACGGUCCUGAAAACGAGCGGCCUGUCCUCUUGCCCAAGGCAGGGUUCCCAAAGCAAAAGCCAGAAUUGGACAAUUACACAGCAAGGAUAAAGGGCCUCUCUGCACCCACAGGGCCAGCACGACACGCGACAGCAGCCCCUUCUCCUGCACACCUGUUGUCUGUUCCCAGCCGAGCUGUGGGGUGGACCCAGCUGAGGACAAGCUCUUCUGUACCCGCUGGGAGAGGCAUCUCCCGAAAUCCCAACCCCACAGCAGGCAGGAGGUCACCCGCCCAUCCCCCAAAGCCCACAUCUAGGUACCCAACAGGGCUGGCCUGAAGCCACACACAGCCACUCGGGACGUUGCCUCCAGGCAUGCUGAGGCCGGGGACCCCAGCACACGCUGAGGAAAGGUGAAAUGACCCCUUUCUUUUAAGAGAAAUAUUCUAGCAGACCUCAAGUCUAGAAACAUGGACUUAAAACACUUAAGUCUUCAAAUAUAAGAGAUGUCCAGAAGGUUCCUCUCCCAAGAAGGUCUUAGUAACCGGCAAAAAUAAAUGACCAAACUG
Molecule: RNA transcript, 6321 nt
Organism: Lutra lutra (Eurasian river otter)
Lineage: Eukaryota; Metazoa; Chordata; Mammalia; Carnivora; Mustelidae
Gene: TUBGCP6
Gene name: tubulin gamma complex associated protein 6
Exons: 27
Source: RefSeq, a predicted model, not a curated record